CCUACGGGAGGCAGCAGUGGGGAAUAUUGCACAAUGGGGGAAACCCUGAUGCAGCGACGCCGCGUGAGUGAAGAAGGAAUUCGUUAUGUAAAGCUCUAUCAGCAGGGAAGAAAAUGAAGGUACCUGAGUAAAAAGCCCCGGCUAACUACGUGCCAGCAGCCGCGGUAAUACGUAGGGGGCAAGCGUUAUCCGGAUUGAAUGGGUGUAAAGGGAGCGGAGACGGCAGUGCAAGUCUGGAGUGAAAGCCGGGGGCUCAACCUGCGGUCUGCUCUGGAAACUGUACGGCUGGAGUGCAGGAGAGGAGAGUGGAAUUCCUAGUGUAGCGGUGAAAUGCGUAGAUAUUAGGAGGAACACCAGUGGCGAAGGCGGCUUACUGGACUGUAACUGACGUUGAGGCUCGAAAGCGUGGGGAGCAAACAGGAUUAGAUACCCGGGUAGUC
This 440-nucleotide ribosomal RNA is filed under the name uncultured bacterium. Its description in RNAcentral is "partial 16S ribosomal RNA". It matches the Rfam family "Bacterial small subunit ribosomal RNA", at positions 338 to 795 of the family's 1533-position model. The record is from RNAcentral.